This 466-nucleotide ribosomal RNA is filed under the name uncultured bacterium. RNAcentral's name for it is "bacterial SSU rRNA". It matches the Rfam family "Bacterial small subunit ribosomal RNA", at positions 26 to 507 of the family's 1533-position model. The record is from RNAcentral.
AGGACGAACGCUGGCGGCACGCCUAACACAUGCAAGUCGAGCGGAGAUUGAGAGCUUGCUCUCAUGAUCAGCGGCGGACGGGUGAGUAACACGUGAGCAACCUGCCUUUCAGAGGGGGACAACAGUUGGAAACGACUGCUAAUACCGCAUAAUAUUGCCGGCCGGCAUCGGCUGGCAAUCAAAGGAGCAAUCCGCUGAAAGAUGGGCUCGCGUCUGAUUAGAUAGUUGGUGAGGUAACGGCCCACCAAGUCGACGAUCAGUAGCCGGACUGAGAGGUUGAUCGGCCACAUUGGGACUGAGACACGGCCCAGACUCCUACGGGAGGCAGCAGUGGGGGAUAUUGGACAAUGGGGGAAACCCUGAUCCAGCGAUGCCGCGUGAGGGAAGAAGGUUUUCGGAUUGUAAACCUCUGUGGACAGGGACGAUAAUGACGGUACCUGUUUAGAAAGCCACGGCUAACUACGUG